CGCACCUUGCACUCCUUGGUAUUCCGAGGAGUAUGCCUGUUUGAGUGUCAUGGUAUUCUCAACCUCUAAAGCUUUUGCGAUAGAGGCUUGGAUGUGGAGGUCGUGUUGGCGCAAGUCAACUCCUCUGAAAUGCAUUAGUGUGAAUCUUACGGAUCGCCUCCAGUGUGAUAAGUAUCUACGCUGUGGUGUUGAAGUAUAUAGGCAUUCAUGCUUCUAAUCGUCUCUUCAUUGAGACAAUUACUUGACAAUCUGACCUCAAAUCAGGUAGGACUACCCGCUGAACUUAA
This 287-nucleotide unclassified non-coding RNA is filed under the name Meruliaceae sp. RNAcentral's name for it is "partial contains 5.8S ribosomal RNA, internal transcribed spacer 2, and large subunit ribosomal RNA". Lineage: Eukaryota; Fungi; Basidiomycota; Agaricomycetes; Polyporales; Meruliaceae. The record is from RNAcentral.